CGGAAAACUGGGGAUAAUAGGAGAUAGAUAAAAGAGACUGGAAUGUUCUUUGAUCCAAAGCUGGUGCGCCUGAGGAGGGGCCUGCGUCCGAUUAGGUUGUUGGUGGGGUAAUGGCCCACCAAGCCUGCGAUCGGUACGGGCAGUGAGAGCUGAAGCCCGGAGUUGGGGACUGAGACAAGGCCCCAGGCCCUACGGGGCGCAGCAGGCGCGAAACCUCUGCAAUGCGGGAAACCGUGACAGGGGGAUCCCGAGUGCUCCUGCAUUGCCUGGGCUGUUCUUUGGUCUAAGUACCCAGAGGCGUACGGGCUGGGCAAGACCGGUGCCAGCCGCCGCGGUAACA
This 340-nucleotide ribosomal RNA is filed under the name uncultured archaeon. RNAcentral describes it as "partial 16S ribosomal RNA". It matches the Rfam family "Archaeal small subunit ribosomal RNA", at positions 133 to 475 of the family's 1478-position model. The record is from RNAcentral.